GUCGAGAAUCUUUCACAAUGGGGGCAACCCUGAUGGAGCGACGCCGCGUGGAGGAUAAGGUCUUCGGAUUGUAAACUCCUGUCAUUCGUGAACAAGGUUGCUUGGUUAAUACCUGGGCAAAUUGAUGGUAACGCAAGAGGAAGAGACGGCUAACUCUGUGCCAGCAGCCGCGGUAAUACAGAGGUCUCAAGCGUUGUUCGGAAUCACUGGGCGUAAAGGGUGCGUAGGUGGCGUGGUAAGUCAGAUGUGAAAGCCCGGGGCUCAACAUCGGAACUGCAGCCGAUACUGCCAUGCUAGAGUACGGGAGAGGUGACUAGAAUUCUCGGUGUAGCAGUGAAAUGCGUAGAUAUCGAGAGGAAUACCAAAGGCGUAGGCAGGUCACUGGACAGUUACUGACACUGAGGUGCGAAAGCGUGGGGAGCAAACAGGAUUAGAAACCCUUGUAGUCC
RNAcentral lists this ribosomal RNA (449 nucleotides) under uncultured bacterium. RNAcentral's name for it is "partial 16S ribosomal RNA". It matches the Rfam family "Bacterial small subunit ribosomal RNA", at positions 354 to 796 of the family's 1533-position model. The record is from RNAcentral.